This is a long non-coding RNA of Papaver somniferum (opium poppy), 2035 nucleotides long. RefSeq lists it as uncharacterized. Lineage: Eukaryota; Viridiplantae; Streptophyta; Magnoliopsida; Ranunculales; Papaveraceae. The record is from RefSeq and is a predicted model, not a curated record. The transcript has 3 exons.
CUCAAAUUUCACAUCUCUCCGUCUUACUGAAACCCUAUCCUCUAUUCACCGAAGUACCAAACUUUAUGUCCUUCCGAUCCCAUUCCAUCGAAUCGAAAUUAAUCCCUUUCAACUUUCAAUUCCACUGGAGCUCCUAGUUUGUACUUCUCUCAACCGUUUCAAUUUAUCUCCGAAAAAUGGCGAAUAGUGAUUUCGGCGAGGCUUAUAAUUGUCUAGAUCCAUAUUGUCUUAAACACAUAUGCUUGAUUCGGUCGUUUCCUCGUAAUUACUCUCAAUUUCUUAAACUUUUGUGUUCUUUCAUAUUGAUUUUCUCUUAAAAACUAGGUCCGCCAUCUCUCUCUUAGGGUUUUCUCAAAAUCAAGAUCUUUUUUUCUUUUUUCUUUUUUUCCAUUUGAGUUUUAUUAUUGUUUUGGUUUCAAUUUUAGUUUGCAAGAAGAUCUGGUACCUAAGCAUCUAAGGUAAUUUUACCAGAUUUCAGGGUUUUUGCAUAGUUUUGUAGUUUGGAUGUUGAUUUAUGUGUUGGGUGUACGAUAUAAUUAGGUUAUGAAUGUGUGUGUUUGUGCUUUCAUUUUCGUAUUAAUGGUUUGUUUAUCUGUUGUAGGAUGUGUGCAGUUGUUACUGGUGCAAACAAAGGAAUCGGGCAUGAGAUUAUUCAAAGAUUGGCCCUUGAAGGUGUGACUCAACAACUAGAAAUGAAAAGAACGAUUUCAUGAGGUACUCUAGGGAAGAUGUUCAGAGACGACCUCCAAGCACAGGCUUCAGAAGCAAGUUGAUGGACUUAAAUUGUUAUUCAAGGUGGGCUUGUAUCUUCUUGAUUAUAUGGUUUUACUAUUAUUAAGGGACUUUUGAAAUGGUUUGUUUUGCGAAUCUGUGAGUCGAUCAUAACAUGCUUAUUAAAGGUACUCCCUUAACGACAUCUUAAUAUUUUUUAAAUUGAGAUAUAUAAUCUAAUCCACCAGUAACGCAGAAAUGCUGCUGUCUAUAUUUAAUACCUGCUCAUUGCCAUGUUACUGAUAGGUUUAUCGAGCUGGUGUUCCUUUAUAUUUGUGGUUUAAGUUUUAACCCAGAUUUGUUUUGCACCUAGAGGAUGCUUACUAAUCCAACCUUUUUGUCCAAUAAUUUCAUCUAGAUGGCCAAACUUCCUCUGUGCACGUUCCGUUCUCUCUUCGGGCUCGAUUCAACUUCACUAGUCUUGGUCGCUUUGGUGGCCCCUUUCUCAAAAUGGUGCAACAUUAAAGUGGUUUACAACAUGUAAGGUAUUGAUUGAUGCUGGACCAAGUGGAAUAAUGUUGUUGAUGCCGUCGUAACUUAGGAAGGUGUUCCAAUUGUCAACCAAUCUACUGUUGUUGCCUGGGAGGUCAAUAAGUCUUCUCUAAAGAAAAGCUGCAAGUCCAAUGUAUCCAGAAGAAAGCAGAGACGAAUCAUGAUUUCAACAACUUAAAUUUAAGAUGCGUGACUCCCAGGUAUACAUGCAUCUUGAAAAUGCACAUUGUUUUUGAUGAUAGUAAUGCCAUUCUCAGGUCUUGCUAGGAUUAAAUUCACUCCACUCCAAAUUUUUUGCAUAACUCAGUAAGUAGUUUAGAUACAACUAAUUUGUAUUCAUCUGUAGAUUUUAUGAUUUAAUCAUCUUAUAUAUGCUACGUAUACUGAAUGUGUCAAGCAUUCGUUUAUAUGUAAUUGAUUCACAUCAGGAAGUAUUUAAAAAUAACUUGGAAUCUUGUUAUACAUGAUGUUAGGAUCCUUAUACCUCCGUACGUCUGUUGUUAUUUUAAAGAGCUUCAUGAAAAGAGCAGCUGCAGGUGUUUUAUGCUGAUUCUAGAAAGGGAAAUCCACAAAGCAAUGAUGAUUAUGACGAGUUCAAUGAUGAAAGUAUGACAAAUGCUAUAGAGAUGGAGUACUUGGAGACGUUUUAGCAAAUUGAAUUCAGAAUUUGUUUGGAUGUAAAUUUGGGUAGUUAAUGUAGGAUGCAUUUAUCCUUUUUUGUAUAAACUUGAGUUCAUAUUUUAAAUAAAAUUAAGGUAUAUUUAGUUUUAAA